RNAcentral lists this ribosomal RNA (491 nucleotides) under uncultured bacterium. RNAcentral describes it as "partial 16S ribosomal RNA". It matches the Rfam family "Bacterial small subunit ribosomal RNA", at positions 29 to 506 of the family's 1533-position model. The record is from RNAcentral.
AGUGAACGCUGGCGGUAGGCCUAACACAUGCAGGUCGAACGGCAGCACAGUAAGAGCUUGCUCUUACGGGUGGCGAGUGGCGGACGGGUGAGGAAUACAUCGGAAUCUACUUUUUCGUGGGGGAUAACGUAGGGAAACUUACGCUAAUACCGCAUACGACCUACGGGUGAAAGCAGGGGAUCUUCGGACCUUGCGCGAUUGAAUGAGCCGAUGUCGGAUUAGCUAGUUGGCGGGGUAAAGGCUCACCAAGGCGACGAUCAGUAGCUGGUCUGAGAGGACGAUCAGCCACACUGGGACUGAGACACGGCCCAGACUCCUACGGGAGGCAGCAGUGGGGAAUUUUGGACAAUGGGCGAAAGCCUGAUCCAGCAAUGCCGCGUGUGUGAAGAAGGCCUUCGGGUUGUAAAGCACUUUUGUCCGGAAAGAAAUGGCUCUGGUUAAUACCUGGGGUCGAUGACGGUACCGGAAGAAUAAGGACCGGCUAACUACGU